GGACUACUCGGGUAUCUAAUCCCGUUCGCUCCCCUGGCUUUCGCACCUCAGCGUCAGUCGCUCGCCAGGACACUGCCUUCGCCUUCGGUGUUCCUCCGGAUCUCUACGCAUUUCACCACUCCACCCGGAAUUCCGUGUCCCUCUCGAGCCCUCAAGUCAGACCGUCUUUCGCAUGCUCGCAAAGUUAAGCCUUGCGCUGUCACACAAAACGCGUCCGACCGCCUGCAUGCCCUUUACGCCCAGUAACUCCGGACAACGCUCGCCCCCUACGUAUUACCGCGGCUGCUGGCAC
RNAcentral lists this ribosomal RNA (292 nucleotides) under uncultured bacterium. Its description in RNAcentral is "partial 16S ribosomal RNA". The record is from RNAcentral.